AACGAACGCUGGCGGCAUGCCUAACACAUGCAAGUCGAACGAAGCCUUCGGGCUUAGUGGCGCACGGGUGCGUAACGCGUGGGAAUCUGCCCUUGGGUUCGGAAUAACAGUUAGAAAUGACUGCUAAUACCGAAUGAUGUCUUCGGACCAAAGAUUUAUCGCCCAAGGAUGAGCCCGCGUCGGAUUAGCUAGUUGGUGAGGUAAAGGCUCACCAAGGCGACGAUCCGUAGCUGGUCUGAGAGGAUGAUCAGCCACACUGGGACUGAGAUACGGCCCAGACUCCUACGGGAGGCAGCAGUGGGGAAUAUUGGACAAUGGGGGCAACCCUGAUCCAGCAAUGCCGCGUGAGUGAUGAAGGCCUUAGGGUUGUAAAGCUCUUUUGCCAGGGAGAUGAUGACUGUACCUGGAGAAUAAGCCCCGGCUAACUUCGUGCCAGCAGCCGCGGUAAU
This 449-nucleotide ribosomal RNA is filed under the name uncultured bacterium. RNAcentral's name for it is "bacterial SSU rRNA". It matches the Rfam family "Bacterial small subunit ribosomal RNA", at positions 29 to 524 of the family's 1533-position model. The record is from RNAcentral.